GCCCGCGUAGCUCAAUGGCUAGAGCGUGUGACUUUUAUUAGUAGAAAAUAAAUCCCAAGGCUGUGGGUUCGAGUCCCACCGUGGGCG
Annulohypoxylon maeteangense is the source of this 87-nucleotide non-coding RNA. The record is from the annotation of a RefSeq genome assembly. NCBI's taxonomy places the organism in Eukaryota, Fungi, Ascomycota, Sordariomycetes, Xylariales, Hypoxylaceae.